CCUGCAAUUGCUUCAUGAACAUUUCGUGGUAAUAGUUCCUUGAAGGCAAACGGAAGGAGGCGCUGCAUCAUUACAUGGCAAUCGUGGCUUUUCAAGCCAGUAAACUUUCCUUCCUUUCUGUCGAUACAGUUACGCAAAUUUGAUGCGUAACCGUCUGGAAAUUCCACAUCGUUUGAAAUCCAAUCAAAGAACGCAUCUUUGCCCUCUGCAUCAAGUCGGUAUAUGGGAAAAGGAGCCCUACCAUUCUCAUCAACAUGAAGUUCUGAACGAGCGCAUAUAUCGACUAAAUCCAGUCUUGACUUCAAAUUAUCCUUUGUUUUACCUUGAACAUUAAGGAUCGUGUUCAUGAGAUUGUCAAA
Molecule: long non-coding RNA, 359 nt
Filed under: Brassica napus (rape)
Lineage: Eukaryota; Viridiplantae; Streptophyta; Magnoliopsida; Brassicales; Brassicaceae
Description: long non-coding RNA (BNAP_LNC025793)
Source: RNAcentral